UCCAGAACAGCCCAGGUCUCGAUCGAGUC
Molecule: small RNA, 29 nt
Filed under: Bombyx mori (domestic silkworm)
Lineage: Eukaryota; Metazoa; Arthropoda; Insecta; Lepidoptera; Bombycidae
Description: ovarian small RNA-7178
Source: RNAcentral